UGACGACGACGAGGAUGACCAAGACCCGUCGGCGACUGGUGGUGGGUUCGACUACGCGGUGGCGCUGUUCAACCGCGGCGAGUUCCACGCGUGCCACGACGUGGUGGAGGAGCUCUGGUACGGCGCCGAGGACCCCGCGCGGACGCUCCUCCACGCCAUCCUACAGUGCGCCGUCGGAUUCCACCACCUCUUCAACCAGGUCCUACCCAUUGAUUGAUCAACUGUUGGACUGCAUAUAUACGCGCCAACAAUCGAUCCAUGAAUUCUGAAUUUAUUUGAUGCCAACGAUCUAAUUAUUGCUCGAUCGAUCGGCCUAUACGUACGUGCAGAACCACCGCGGCGCCAUGAUGGAGCUCGGUGAGGGCCUCUGCAAGCUCCGCAAGCUCAACCUCGGCGGCGGCGACGACGACGACCCAUUCUCCCGCUUCCGGGACGACGUCGCCGCCGUCCUGCAAUUUCUCUACCGCACCCAAAAGGAGCUCGC
This 484-nucleotide long non-coding RNA is filed under the name Setaria italica (foxtail millet). Its description in RNAcentral is "long non-coding RNA (SITA_LNC006454)". The record is from RNAcentral. Lineage: Eukaryota; Viridiplantae; Streptophyta; Magnoliopsida; Poales; Poaceae.